GUUUUGCAAUGUCACAUCAUGAAGUGUGUUAGAGGGCUGUUGCGACACAGAGGGCAGUUUUAGGCAUUUCUGCUUCUUAUAAGUUAAACUAAUUUCUGAGUGAUGAAGUGUAAUGCGAUGGUGUUGUGGACUCAUUUGUUACUAUUGUAAAGUCCAAAUUCAUCCUCGUUACAAACCAUGAUGGCAGGAAUCCAGAUCAUUUCCUUCAUUUUCAUCAGCUCGGUGUUGUUACAUACUCAUUCAGCUGAUGAUAUCUACUUUGCCGUGAUGCCUCAGACAGUAACAGCUCUGACAGGAUCUUGUGUGCAGAUUCCUUGCACAUUCCAUAUCCCCAAUUUUGAGGACAAACGUAAUAACACACAAUCUGUUUAUGGGAUCUGGCUGAAAAAUAAAUCACAGUUUGCUGACAGAGAUGGCUUCAUAGCUUUUAAUAGCAGUGAAAACAUCAUUAGAGGAUUCAGUGACAUACAGAUAACUGGAGAUCUCAGUGAAAGGAACUGCACAACUGUCUUCUAUAACCUCAUGAAGAAUCAUUCAGAUUUAACCCUAAUCAACCUGAUUCAAGAAAGACUAUGAACAUCACUGUCAUAGUUACAGGAGAAACCUGAUAAAACCCAGUCAGUGUUUUCACACAUGACCUUCAAAGCUUCAUACAUGGAUCACAGAAUGAACAUCUCCUGCACUGCUACAUAUCCAAGAAAUACACCUGAUGACUCAACCGUGGAGACCACUGUGAUGCUACGAGUCCUGUUUCCUCCAAAAGAAACUCACAUCACCAUCGAUCCAUCUGCUUCAGUCUCUGUUGGCACUAAUGUGACUUUGACCUGCAAAAGCAAAGCCAAUCCAUCAAAUGACAUGAACUACACUUGGUACAAACAUGGAUAUGAGACGCCUAUAGCUCAUGGAAAGAAGAUUACCUUCAAUGCAACUCAAAAUAAUGCAUCAUGGUAUUCCUGCAUUGCACAGAAUAAACAUGGAAACCAGUCAUCAGCAGAGAUCCAGCUUACAGUUGAAGGAGAAAAAAAUUCAAUAAACCCAGUGUCAAUAAGAAGGAUCCUUCUGGUCAGGUUAAUAAAAUUUCUGAUGAUGAAACACUGAUCAUCUACUAUGAAAAGACUGACAUCCCAAAGCAGCAGAACUACUGCAUCACAGAGACAUACUCCAAACAUGAUGAAUACACAGAAAUAGAGUACAGAGUAUUUCAGGAUUUGUAGGCUCACUUAAAGGGUUAGUUCACCCAAAAAUGAAAAUAACGUCAUUUAUUACUCACCCUCAUGUCGUUCCACACCCGUAAGACCUUCAUUCAUCUUCGGAACACAAAUUAAGAUGUUUUUGAUUAAAUCCGAUGGCUCAGUGAGGCCUGCAUUCAAAGCAAUGACAUUUCCUCUCUCAAGAUCCAUAAAGGUACUAAAAACAUAUUUAAAACAGUUCAUGUGAGUUCAGUAGUUCUACCUUAAUAUUAUAAAGUGACGAGAAUACUUUUUGUGUGCCAAAAAAACAAAAUAACGGCUUUUCAACAAUAUAGUGAUAGGUUGAUUUCAAAACACUGCUUCAGAGCUUUAUGAAUCGAAUCAGUGACUCGGAUCUCCUAUCAAACGGCUGAAAUCACGUGACUUUGGCGCUCCAAAUCACUGAUUCGGUUCGCAAAGCUCCGAAGCAGUGUUUUGAAACCUAACUCUUACUCAAUUUAUUAUAUUUAGCAGACAGAAUAAGUCCUGUAUGUUAAAUUACACUGUAUCACCUGAAUCUGGGCAAAUUGAGUGCCAGUCACAGAGCGGGUCACAAUUAAUUAUUUGCGGUUUAAAACAUUAUCAUCCAACGUGAUGCCAAAUAGGUUUCCCAACUAAUGAUAAUCAGUAUUACAUAGUAUAAUAGUAUGAAUUUAUCCGACACACGUGUCCUGCUAAAUCACGUCUACUAUCCUGCAACAGAACAAUAAUGGCCACCCUACUUUACAAGGCAAAAAAAAAAAAAGAAGAAAAGCUUUAAACACAAGAGGGUAUUACUGGGUAUUUAUAUUUUUAUUUGUCAAGACAUUUAUACCAUAAUUAAUUUUAUGGUGCUGUUUUGUCCUUUUUGGAGCUCAACUUCCGUAUGUCAGAGUACACCAGGGGUCUCAAACUCAAAUUGGCUGGGGGCCAUUGCUGUGAUUGACUCCUCAUAGGAGGGCCAUUUUAACAUUCAGGCAUAAGAAAGCGCAAAAUUUCUGAAAAAUUACUUUCCUUUGCAUUAUUUCUCAUUUACUUCAAAUUUCAUUACUAAAAUAUUUUUGCCAUACUUAAAAAAUGUAAACAGCUGAUCAUAGCUGUAGAGGGCGGGUUUUUAUUUCUCAAAUCCAUAUAAAUAUAUCUAGUAGUAGAGCUAAUGCAAGGACUAGAAAUCAGUUUUUCUUUUGCUGAAACUUCCUAGUCAUCAUGGAGAGUGCAGCUUAUGGUUGCAUAGCAACGACAGACGCCACGGGAGCGAAAGCGCUUUGGAAAGAAGGAGAAAGCGGCGAAUAUGUGACGCGAUAUGUGAAUGGCCUCUUAGAACGGCAACCUUUUUUUUGCAUAUCAGACAGGUAGCAACUAGAGAAUAAUAAUAAUAAUAAUAAUAAUAAUAAUUUAGCGGGCCAGAUUAUGUUUUAUUUUUUAGAUCAGUUGCGGGACGGGUGGAGGGGCCUCAAAGUUUGAGACCACUGGAGUACACUGUUGUUGUAUGCAAGAGCAGCAUGAAAAAAAAAAAAAAAAACCUAAAAUAUUUAUUUAAAGAAAAAUAGUCUCACAGGUUUGGAAGAACAUGAAGAUUUGUAACAAAGAGGGUAAGACUUUUCAUAAUUUUCUUUUUUGGGUGAGCUGUGCCAUAGUAAUAUAUUACUAAUGUAUUUAAAAUAGUAGAAGAAAACGUGAAAAUAUCUUGAGCUUGUGUUAACCACUGACCUUAUUUCAAUUAAGAUGGAACAGGAAGUGCUAAAAUGCGAACUCAUUUCCGGGUUUUGGCACACAAAAAUAUGUCAUCCCUGCAACUCUCUAUGACGCAGACAUAAUGACAGCAGGGAUCACUCGUAUUUCAUUAAAUAAAUAAUAAAUAGUUACUUUUUGAAAUAUAGCUUACUUUCUGAAGUACAUAAUACACUGAAAAGUUUUGACAGUAUAUAUAUAUAUAUAUUACAGUAUAUUGUUGUCACUACUGCCUCCUGACUUCUAUAAAUGAAUUCAUUUCACUACUGAACUGCUACGUUAUAUUACUCUGCAAUAAGGUGGUAAUGCCACUGUUUUUUUAAAGUAAAAUCACAGCUUUAUUGUUAGUCGAGAGUUAUUUAUUGUUCGUUGUUGUCUCUCCCUCUCUCUCUCAAAAAAUAAUUCAAAUAAAUGAUAUAAUUCAAUCAAAUAAAUGUCAUCUUACUACUUUAUCUCUGUGUUUGAUUCAAAACAGGCAGAAUGCUAGCGAGUUAUACAGCUGGCAAAAAUAACCGUAAUUUUUAACCGUAAUUUUUAACCCUUUUGCUCAAAUAUUGAUAGUGUUGGCAAGUAUCCAUGGUAUAAGAGGGAUAAUCUAAGGCUAGGUUUGCAUUACACAAUUUUAAUGCACUUUGCAUCGGAGGUGGGGUUUGCUUCCAAGUCAUGCACUAAAAUCGAAUAAGGCACACCUAGCUGUGGAUUAUCCCUUGAAGGCUCUGUGUGUCUUCCUGUAAUUACAAGGGGCGGUCAAUAAUAUAUGACAUCACAUCACUAAAGCCAUAUUUAAACAGACUAGCAGAAAUUAGGCAACUUUAGAAACUUUAGGUUUCAGUUCUUUUUUCUUUUUCUUUUUUUCACACAAGAACAGCAUACGUGUCUCAUAAGCCAGCAUUCAGUCUUAAAAUGGUGUAAAUUUUGGGGUUUAAGUGUUCCAGUCUCGUGCACCAGUCACAAUGUGCACAGAAGCUCUUCUGCAUUCAAUAGAUGUGUUGUUGUUAGAAAGAAUGAAAAACAUUUAAGCACAGAAUGAACAAAGGUAGAUUCAUAAUAUCUCGUCCUGUAGUGCUGCUGGGAAACUGUCAAGAGAAUAUCACGUCACUAAGUGUUUAAUUUAUCUCACAUAGAGGAAGACAUCUUCAUUAACUUCUGCUUUUCUUUGACUGCACUGCUCUGAGAGCUCCAGUGAUGUCUGUGUUCCAGAUCACGUCCUUCAUCAACAUCAUCAUCAUCAGCUCUGUGUUUCUACACACUCAAUCAGCUGAUGAUAUCUACUUUGCCGUGAUGCCUCAGACAGUAACAGCUCUGACAGGAUCUUGUGUGCAGAUUCCUUGCACAUUCAACAUCUCCAAUUUUGAGGGCAAACGUAAUAACACACAAUCUGUUUAUGGGAUCUGGCUGAAAAAUAAAUCACAGUUUGCUGACAGAGAUGGCUUCAUAGCUUUUAAUAGCAGUGAAAACAUCAUUAGAGGAUUCAGUGACAUACAGAUAACUGGAAAUCUCAGUGAGAGAAACUGCACAACUGUCUUCUAUAACAUCAUGAAGAAUCAUUCAGAUAUCUACUACUUCAGACUGGAAAUGGAGCCAAAUGUGUUCAGAGCAACAUUUAUCACCAGUCAACAUGGUUCAAGAAAGAUUGUGAACAUUACUGUCAGAGAUUCACCACAACCUCCUGAACUUAAACCCAAUGAUCAACGCUCUGUGAUGGAGGAAACAACAGUCAAUCUGAACUGCUCUGCUGAAGCCCCCUGCCCCAAACAACCUCCUACAAUAUCCUGGUCCAACAUCCCUGAAUCUGCCAACAUUACAACACAGUUACAGGAGAAACCUGAUAAAACCCUGUCAGUGUUUUCACACAUGACCUUCAAAGCUUCAUACAUGGAUCACAGAAAGAACAUCUCCUGCACUGCUACAUAUCCAAGAAAUACACGUGAAGACUCAACUGUGGAGACCACCGUGAUGCUACAAGUCCUGUUUCCUCCUAAAGAAACUCACAUCAUCAUUACUCCAUCUGCUCCAGUCGCUAUUGAAACUAAUGUGACUUUAACCUGCAAAAGCAAAGCCAAUCCAUCAAAUGAAACGAGCUACACCUGGUACAAACGUGGACAGGAGAUGAAAAUAGCACAGGGAAUGAAGAUUAGCUUCAUCGUAACUCAUAAUAAUACAGGCUCAUACUUCUGCAUUGCAAAAAAUAAACAUGGAAACCAGUCAUCAGCAGAGAUCCAGCUCACAGUUGGAGGAGAGAGAGGAUUCUCUCGUGUGAUAUAUGGUUGUACAGGAGCACUUUUGGCCUUUGUUCUGUUGUCUGCAGUACUCUUUUUCUGUAUGAGAACAAAGACAUCAAGUCAGGCCCAUGUCAUAGGAAGAGAUCAGGCUACAGAUAAAAACAGUGACAUGGUGGCUAUCUAUGCUAACAGUUCCAUUGCAAACAGCAAGAAAAGUGAGAAGAAAGAAACUGAUGAUCUCCACUAUGGAGAGAUUGACUUCUCCAAACUCCAGACAGGCAACAUGACAAGGGAGCACUCAAACAAUGGCCCACAGACAGAGUAUGCAGAGAUUCAAGCGACAGGGAGAAACAACAAGAAAAUUAUUGAGCAAAUGGACAAACAAAUCUAAUCUCUUGUCUAAAUAGUGAAAAAAUAGAUAUGUAAAUAAUAAUGAAACUUCAUUGUACUUAAUAGAAAAAAAGCUGAACUCAAAAUUUGAUUGUAGUAAGCUAAACUUAAAAUGAUUGAGUUGCAGCAGAUUUCUAAAUUACAGCAUGCUUUGCGUUAGACUGUAUAAGGAAACUAAAUGUUGAAAUUAAGUGUUAUUUUGUUUGUUUUAGCACAAGAUUAACAUAGAGAGACUUAAGUUAGUGUUUAAUGUUGUGUUAUGUUCGUUUUAAGGGUUAAAUUGUGGUGAAGAGUAGAGCCUGUGGUUAGGUUGAGGAUGGGCUGCAAAACUUUUAAGACCAUAUAUACUAUAUGUUGUUUGAUUAUAUACAUGCAAGUAUAUAAUGACAGUCUCACUGAUAGUUUUAAUAGCAUGUGCUAUUUGCUAUCUAACAUUUAACCAAGAUCUGAAUGUGAUGUUUAUGUAAAUGAACUGUAUGUAAUUAACAUUAUGAUGAGUGGGGCGAGGCUGAGAUCUAUGGGAGCGAAGGGAGGCCGGUGACACACCGAGAGGCCGAGAGACACCUGUGCACCACAAUGUCCUUGCUCUGCUUCAAAUUAUUUCCAAGCAAUGACCCCUGGACUUUUGGUUGACUGUUAUACUCACCUGAAGAGCAAUGUAGGACGUUGCCAUUUUGUUUGUCCUUCGAGGAGGCUUCUUCUCUCAAAGCUCUUUGUACAAUUGUACAAAUUGCUGUGAAGAACUAGUCACAAAUGUUUGGAAAAGGGAUCAAGCCUCAGUCAGAACAAGCUGAUAACUGACAGCUUUGCUUCUUUUAUAGGCUCUGAACGUUCUAAAAAUCUAAUGACGUCACAGUACCAUCACUUGACAUCCAGUGUUGCAUUCCUUAACAGCAAAACACAAUUAGGGUUUUACUCUUGUUGUUUUUGUUGUUGUUGUUGUUUAAAUCCUCCUUCACAAUAUGGGACAAAAGAUUCAUUUUGCUAGUAUAAAAAUGAUAUAGCCUAACUUAAAAAUGAAUAAUUCCGGUCUUUGAUGCUAUAUGCUCAAUAACAGUUAUUUACUAUGAAGCCUAUACUAUAAAAAUUUUUUACUAUAAAACAAAUUUGGUUGUAAAAUGGCAGCAGGUGUUGCGGUAAUGAGAAAAUCAGUCAAAAUCAAAUAAAAAUGUUAAUUUAAAAAUAUAUAUUAUUUCAGAGUUUCAUGUAACUGUGCAUGACUGUUAAUCAAUUUUAAAAAAUGAGAAAAUGUAUUCGCUUUCCUAAUGGUAUUGACAUUUGCAGACUGUAUGAGGUAAUGAGAUUUUUAAGGACUUGUUUUGGAAAAUGAUCACAAACACUUCAGACCUUGCUCUUAAUGUCUAAAAAAGAAAUCUGUUGAUACAGACAUUUAAAAAAAAAAAAAAAAAAAGUUUUUGUGAGAAUCACCCAUCUGGAGAGUGAUGGAGAGACGGCAUUAUCGUUAACAGUGUGGUCUGCUGAAAUGUACAGGUAACUGGAGAGAUGGUUACUGAGUGAAUUGACAAUGUUCCUAAAUACGAUUCAUAACAUUAACAUUUCUGUUAACUGGAUUAAUUUCAGUAUGGCUAAUGUACCUCUUCAACAUGUUCUUAAAACUUUCAUGCCAAUAAAGAUAAAUGUAUUAUU
Molecule: RNA transcript, 7198 nt
Organism: Ctenopharyngodon idella (grass carp)
Lineage: Eukaryota; Metazoa; Chordata; Actinopteri; Cypriniformes; Xenocyprididae
Gene name: B-cell receptor CD22-like
Exons: 14
Source: RefSeq, a predicted model, not a curated record